GAAUUUGAGGGUGAUUUGGCUGCAACAUCUGCUACCCUAUUGAUUACCAGCAUUGAUUAGACUGACCUGGCUGGCUAGGCAGGUGUCCCUUUCCUCCCUCACAAUUCUAUGUGUCUCUCUAUGUGCUUGGCCUAAGAGGAUAACCUCAGAGCAAAUAGAGGAGUGAUCUUUAGUCAAGGGCACACAAGUAGCUGCGUUCAUCUCUAGAACCUUCAAACAAGCUCUCAAAAAAGCCCAGUCUGCAAUAUUUCAGAUGCCGAUUCAGUCCCAAUGCCACGGGACUCUGGACUUUUUA
This 295-nucleotide small nuclear RNA is filed under the name Neotoma lepida (desert woodrat). RNAcentral's name for it is "7SK RNA". It matches the Rfam family "7SK RNA". Rfam says of the family: 7SK was discovered as an abundant small nuclear RNA in the mid-70s but a possible function has only recently been suggested. Two independent studies have found that 7SK RNA binds the CDK9/cyclin T complex (known as elongation factor P-TEFb). P-TEFb activates transcription by phosphorylating the C-terminal domain of RNA polymerase II. Lineage: Eukaryota; Metazoa; Chordata; Mammalia; Rodentia; Cricetidae. The record is from Rfam by way of RNAcentral.